This 465-nucleotide ribosomal RNA is filed under the name uncultured bacterium. Its description in RNAcentral is "partial 16S ribosomal RNA". It matches the Rfam family "Bacterial small subunit ribosomal RNA", at positions 28 to 507 of the family's 1533-position model. The record is from RNAcentral.
GACGAACGCUGGCGGCGUGCUUAACACAUGCAAGUCGAACGGAAAGGCCCUGCUUGCAGGGUAUUCGAGUGUCGAACGGGUGAGUAACACGUGUGUGAUCUGCCCUGCACUUCGGGAUAAGACUGUGAGACUGGGUCGAAUACCGGAUAUGAGCCAUUUUGAGUGUUAUGGUUGGAAAGAUUGUUGGGUGUAGGAUGAGCUCGCGGCCUAUCAGCUUGUUGGUGGGGUAAUGUCCUACCAAGGCGGCGACGGGUAGCCGGCCUGAGAGGGUGGACGGCCACAUUGGGACUGCGAUACGGCCCAGACUCCUACGGGAGGCAGCAGUGGGGAAUAUUGCACAAUGGGCGCAAGCCUGAUGCAGCGACGCCGGGUGGGGGAUGACGGGCUUCGGGUUGUAAACUCCUUUCGCUAGGGAAGAAGCUUUUUGUGACGGUACCUAGAUAAGAAGCAACGGCUAACUACGUG